GUGCCGGUAGCUGAGAUGGUCCAGCGGCGGUCUGAAACACCGCAGACGAGGAUUCGAGCGCCUCCCGGCCCA
This 72-nucleotide transfer RNA is filed under the name Planctomycetaceae bacterium. RNAcentral describes it as "tRNA-Phe". It matches the Rfam family "tRNA". From Rfam's summary of the family: Transfer RNA (tRNA) molecules are approximately 80 nucleotides in length. Their secondary structure includes four short double-helical elements and three loops (D, anti-codon, and T loops). The record is from RNAcentral. Lineage: Bacteria; Pseudomonadati; Planctomycetota; Planctomycetia; Planctomycetales; Planctomycetaceae.